RNAcentral lists this small RNA (209 nucleotides) under Streptomyces qinglanensis. RNAcentral's name for it is "c-di-AMP sequence". It matches the Rfam family "c-di-AMP riboswitch aptamer (ydaO/yuaA leader)". From Rfam's summary of the family: This family represents a conserved RNA structure found upstream of the ydaO and yuaA genes in Bacillus subtilis and related genes in other bacteria. The ydaO/yuaA element is thought to act as a genetic "off" switch for the ydaO and yuaA genes in its native state. Lineage: Bacteria; Bacillati; Actinomycetota; Actinomycetes; Kitasatosporales; Streptomycetaceae. The record is from RNAcentral.
CGCAGCCGGACGCCGAGUCCUGCCGCUGGUCUGCGAGAACCCACCGUCGGCAGGAGCGGGGGAACCAGGUAAGUGCCCUGCGGGACCGAUGUCCCGAAGGGCUUGGGGUGAAGCCGUGACGGUGCCGCCGAAGAGGCGGACGUUGCGGCCGGGCUACUACUCCGGCCCGAAUCCGACAGCUCACCUCGCAGGCGUAGGAGAGGGAUUCC